UACACUCACUCACUCCUUCCACUUCCACUCUUCCAUGGCUUUCUUCUUCUUCCUCCUCCUCCUCCUCCUCUCCCCCGCGGCCGCCGCCGCCUCCUGGCCGCCCUCCCCCGGAUUCUGGCCGAGCACCCACGUCCGCUCCAUGGAAUUCUACAAAGGCUUCCGCAACCUCUGGGGCCCUCAACACCAAAGCCUUUCUCAAGACACUCUUUCCAUUUGGCUCGAUCGCACCACCGGAAGUGGAUUCAAGUCCCUCCGCCCUUUCCGAUCAGGAUACUUCAGCGCCUCCAUUAAACUCCAACCCGGCUAUACCGCCGGCGUCAUCACCGCCUUCUAUCUCUCCAACAACGAAGCUCACCCAGGAUUCCACGACGAGGUCGACAUCGAAUUCUUAGGAACCACAUUCGGUAAGCCUUAUACAUUACAAACCAAUGUUUACAUCAGAGGAACCGGCGAUGGUCGAAUCAUCGGAAGAGAAAUGAAAUUCCAUCUCUGGUUCGACCCCACUAAAGAUUUUCACAAUUACGCCAUUCUAUGGCGCCCAAACGAAAUCAUAUUUCUCGUCGACGACAUACCCAUCAGAAGGUACCCAAGGAAGAGCGCUGCGACAUUCCCACUAAGGCCAAUGUGGGUUUAUGGCUCGAUAUGGGACGCAUCUUCAUGGGCCACAGAGGAUGGGAAAUACAGAGCGGAUUACAGAUACCAACCAUUUGUGGCUAAGUAUAGGAAUUUCAAAGCGAGGGGUUGUUCGGCGUACUCGCCGGCGUGGUGCCAGCCGGUAUCGGCGUCGCCGUUCCGGUCAGGGGGGCUGAGUAGGCAACAGGAGAAUGCAAUGAAAUGGGUACAGAGCCAUCAGUUGGUUUAUAACUAUUGUUGGGAUAACAAGAGAGACCAUUCCUUAACACCAGAGUGUUGGCAUUAGAAUUUCGCGGGGGAUUGAGCUUUAUCAUGCACUGAAAGUGAAAACUCCAUUAAAUUUUUGCUGUUUUUUUUUUGGAUUUGGUGAUUUUAUUAUUGGUUUGAAAAAUUAUAUUUGGAAAGAUGUUGACAAAUGGGGGGGUCCCACGUGGAAAAAUGGCCUAGAAAAGGAACAGAUGCAAGCAUUUUUUUGACCUUAUAGCGUCCGAAAUCCCCUGUGAUCCGAACAGCAACAAAAAAAAAAAAAUAAUAAUAAUAAAUUAAUAUUGUGCGGUGUUUUAUUUUAUUUUA
RNA transcript from Cucurbita moschata (crookneck pumpkin), 1206 nucleotides. It is a transcript of the gene named probable xyloglucan endotransglucosylase/hydrolase protein 32, with no coding region annotated. Lineage: Eukaryota; Viridiplantae; Streptophyta; Magnoliopsida; Cucurbitales; Cucurbitaceae. The record is from RefSeq and is a predicted model, not a curated record. The transcript has 4 exons.